CCUACGGGAGGCAGCAGUAAGGAAUAUUGGACAAUGGACGCAAGUCUGAUCCAGCCAUGCCGCGUGAAGGAUUAAGGCCCUCUGGGUUGUAAACUUCUUUUAUAGGGGACGAAAAAAGGGCUUUCUAGCUCGACUGACGGUACCCUAUGAAUAAGCACCGGCUAACUCCGUGCCAGCAGCCGCGGUAAUACGGAGGGUGCAAGCGUUAUCCGGAUUCACUGGGUUUAAAGGGUGCGUAGGCGGGCAUUUAAGUCAGUGGUGAAAUCUUCGAGCUCAACUCGGAAACUGCCAUUGAUACUAUUUGUCUUGAAUAUUGUGGAGGUGAGCGGAAUAUGUCAUGUAGCGGUGAAAUGCUUAGAUAUGACAUAGAACACCGAUUGCGAAGGCAGCUCGCUACACAAAUAUUGACGCUGAGGCACGAAAGCGUGGGGAUCAAACAGGAUUAGAUACCCUGGUAGUCCACGCCCUAAACCUAUGGAUACUCGACAUUUGCGAUACACAGUAAGUGUCUGAGCGAAAGCAUUAAGUAUCCCACCUGGAAGUACGACCGCAAGGUUGAAACUCAAAUGAAUUGACGG
Molecule: ribosomal RNA, 578 nt
Filed under: uncultured bacterium
Lineage: Bacteria
Description: bacterial SSU rRNA
Rfam family: Bacterial small subunit ribosomal RNA
Source: RNAcentral